Molecule: transfer RNA, 72 nt
Filed under: Teladorsagia circumcincta
Lineage: Eukaryota; Metazoa; Nematoda; Chromadorea; Rhabditida; Trichostrongylidae
Rfam family: tRNA
About the family: Transfer RNA (tRNA) molecules are approximately 80 nucleotides in length. Their secondary structure includes four short double-helical elements and three loops (D, anti-codon, and T loops).
Source: Rfam by way of RNAcentral
GGCCGGAUGGUCUAGGGGUAUGAUUCUCGCUUCGGGUGCGUGAGGUCCCGGGUUCGAAUCCCUGUUCCGCCC